UGCGGGAGAGUGGGGGCAGGAGUCUGGAGGUGUGUGCAGGAGAGCUGGAAUGCUUGUGAGGGUAGAAGAGGGGGUGAAGGGCCACCUGGAGCCUGAUCUUUGUCCUUUUGAGCACUCAGCCCAGGGUCUGAAUGGGCGCAGGUUCUGAGCAAUGUAAGGCAGGGUAGUAGUUGCAGAAAGAUAAUCCAGGAAGGAGGAGAAAGAGAGAAGACAGAAGUGGUUCUUGAAAUGAGCAGAGUUUGGGCCAGAAGAGAAGUGCUGGGCUGGGCUUCACUAUCAGCCCAGUCCAGCUGGGCCUCUUGGAGGCCACCAAGGGGCUGGUCCUGGGGAAGAAGGGCAAGGCUGUGCUGAGUGCCUGGGGCAGACGCCCACCGCUGACUGCCUUAGCAGGGGAAGGGCAGGUGAUGAAGCUGUCUUUGCACAAGUUCAUUUCCAUCCACAGCCAGGAUCCUUCUGGCCAACAGAGGAGACCUCAGGGCAGAGGGCCUGGUUUUGAGCUCCUUCCUCUGCCUGUGCUCCAAGCCCAGCCAGGAGGUACUGUGAGACCUAAGAACAACCUCAAGGAAAUGAAAAGGAAGUGAGGACAGCUCAACCCAAGUCACCUUGGUUCCUGGCUGAACCGCGGAAAGGCUUCUUGCCCCCCUGCCCCAAGAAUCACCCCCUCAGAUGAGCCUUCAGGGCCCACAGAGCCAGCUGGUGGCCCACAGAAUGGCAUUAGGCUGUGGUGACCACACAUGCACUGUGAAGGCAGCACCAGAUGUCACCUAAUUAAGAUAAACCCCAGGGAUCCUGGGAACCACGAGGUCCUGCCCCCAGAGUCUAGUGAUCAACACCUGACUCUUCUAGGUCUCCCAGGAAGCAGGAAAAUAUGAUGCUGGAAGCAGAAAGAUAAGACACCAUUAAUAGACAUAGACAG
Molecule: non-coding RNA, 916 nt
Organism: Ceratotherium simum simum (southern white rhinoceros)
Lineage: Eukaryota; Metazoa; Chordata; Mammalia; Perissodactyla; Rhinocerotidae
Source: RefSeq, a predicted model, not a curated record